AUCUGUGCCAACAUUUUGCCCCGAAAUGCGGUUGACAUUGUGCAGGCGGGUAGGGGAGCGUGGGGCCGCGGUAAACAAAUUGAAUAGCUUCGGCGGGGACAGAGAUGUAGUAUAAAACGUUAAUGGAUGUCCAGGGCGCACCGUUUCGCCGGCUGCUGGUCAGAGGUGCUAGGGAGUUGCUGACAGGAUCCCGGGAGAGGAUGCACCUUCCCCUGCCUUGGAAAGGUUUCACCAACCUUUUCUGCAUCUGCUAACACAGGAGCCAUUGGUACCAAGUGAUGGUCACUUUAUGGCCGGCAAAGGACCUUAAAUCAUCUAGCCCAAGCCCCUCUUUUGAGACAACUGAAGCCCUGAGAGGUUGUCAGCAGCCUAAAGUUACUCACCUCGUGGCUGGCUGAGGCAGGACUGAAACCCAGAGGCCCUGGAUUCUGGAGGAGACACUUCCUUUAGGACACCCACGCUGAACUUGCACAGAUGUCCGUUGUGCACAGAUGGAAGGCUGAAUGCUUUGUGUGCUCGGCUCACUCUAGAGGGCUUGUUGAAUUAAGCAGAGUGCCUGGCACGGACGAGGAUGAAAAUGCUGAGAGAAGACCAAAUUGCUCUCCCCACCGCAGGCUGAGGGUGAACCUUGAAAGAAAAGUUCACGAGAAGGUUGAAGGGGCAGAAGAGGUGGGGCAAAAGUGGAUGGACUAAGUUUGCAUUGAUGUGGCUCAAGAAUCCCUCCCUCUACUUGUCCUCAAGUUGCUAGACGCCGGUUAUUUAAAUAUGAUGGAGAAAUCCUCCCCAGGUAAUGGUUUUCUUAGGCCUAAGGAAUUCCAUUAGAAAGGGGUGGUGGAAAAAGCCCCUGCAGCACAAGAAGAAAAAUGCUUUCUGGUUAUUGUGGGAGCUCUGUUACUGGAUGGAAUUCACCUUCAUUGCAACGCUAUGGCGCAGGCACCUAAAGGUCAAAAUGGCCAUGGAAAUGAAAAGGUUCUGAUCAGCUGGGUGGGAAAGAACAGCUCCACAAAUAAGGUCGAAUGACUGAAGGUGUUGCUACUGCACAUUUCUGCCUUUGCAAGAAGGCACCC
Lontra canadensis (Northern American river otter) is the source of this 1067-nucleotide long non-coding RNA. RefSeq lists it as uncharacterized. The transcript is spliced from 4 exons. NCBI's taxonomy places the organism in Eukaryota, Metazoa, Chordata, Mammalia, Carnivora, Mustelidae. The record is from RefSeq and is a predicted model, not a curated record.